GCGCCGCCACCGUCUGAACUAGGAUGUCCCGACAUGAAGGUGUCAGCUGUGGUGCAUUUUUAAAAGGAAAUUUUCGAAGUCGCAGAUAUAAGUGUUUAAUGUGCUACGAUUACAAUCUUUGUGCAUCUUGUUAUGAAAGUAGGUCAAUAACAACAAGGCACACAAUGGACCUCCCGAUGCAGGGCAUAUUAACAAGGGUAGAUUUUGAUUUGUGCUAUGGUGGAAAAGCUUUCUCUGUAGAGUAGCCACAGACUUACUUGUCCCUACUGUGGAAAAAUGGGCUAUACGGAAACAUCUCUUCAAGAACAUGUUACUUCUGAACUUGCAGAAACAUCUACAGAAGUGAUUUGUCCAAUAUGUGCAGCGUUACCUGGAGUCUUGUCACAGAUGACUUCGCAGCUCAUCUUACACUUGAACACAGAGCCCCUAGAGAUUUAGAUGAAUGGAGUGGUGUUCGACAUGUACGUAGAAUGUUUCACCCUGGUGGGGAUGAGGAGGUCCUGGUGCUCGUAGAUCAAACAUGCACUUUACUAGCAGUUCUACUGGUGGACUUUCUUCUCAGAGUUCGUACUCUCCAAGCAAUAUAGGGAAGCCAUGGAUCCUAUAGCUGAGCUUUUAUCUCAGUUACCAGGAGUGAGACGUUCUGCAGGACAGCUUAGUUCUUCUGGCCCUUCCGCUUCUCAGUUACAACAACUGCAGAUGCAGAUGCCGCUGCAGCUAGAAGGGCAGCAUGCCCAGGCAGCACGGCAACUGAGACCGCACGCAAUGCAAGCCCGCUCACUAACACAAGCAGCGUCACCACUACAAUCACACAGUUCACAGCAUCCACCAACACAGCAAACACAGAAAGCAGUCAGCAGGCUCUCCAGAAUUCCCAGUUUCUUUUAACAAGGUUGAAUGAUCCCAAAAUGUCAGAAACAGAGCGUCAGUCCACGGAAAGUGAGCAUGCAGACCACAGCCUGUUCGUCCAAGAACUCCUUUGUCCACUUUAGCGCGUGAAGAGAGCUCGGCCUCAGACGAGGAUGAACCGGGAGAGAUGGCAGAUUUUGGUGCAGAUUCUGGCUGUGAAGAUAUUAUGCCUUUAGAUGUUGCUUUAGAAAAACUAAAUUUAAAAGAGAGUAAUAAAGGAAAUGAGCCUCUACCACCUCCUCUUUGAUGACCUCCCAAUUCGCAGUGUUCUCUGUGCUGUAUUUGCCAAUGAAAGUAGACAACAGCUAUCCUGGGUUUGUUUGGUGACUGUAAUUUCAGGUCUGUCACUCUUGUUACAUUAUGUACAUUCAAAAGGAAGAGAGAAAAAUAUAUACUAUAAUCAUUUCCACUUAACUAAUUUUUACUUCUAGCAGUUAAUGUAAGGUAGCAGUGCAGGGUGGUCUUUGCUUCCUGUAUCUUGACAUGCAAAAGGUCUCCUAAUACUCCACAUUCAAACUGAAGAGGAAAAUUGAAAUCUCUAAUGAAGCUGCUGUGUGUAUUUAUGAAUAUUAAUGAAU
Nannospalax galili (Upper Galilee mountains blind mole rat) is the source of this 1487-nucleotide RNA transcript. It is a transcript of the gene named E3 ubiquitin-protein ligase KCMF1 pseudogene, with no coding region annotated. The transcript has a single exon. The record is from RefSeq and is a predicted model, not a curated record. Lineage: Eukaryota; Metazoa; Chordata; Mammalia; Rodentia; Spalacidae.